GGCCUAGUAGUUUAAAAGAAAAUGUGGGAUUGCAAAUCUUAAGUUGGGGUGCCUUAGGCUU
Molecule: transfer RNA, 61 nt
Filed under: Artemia franciscana
Lineage: Eukaryota; Metazoa; Arthropoda; Branchiopoda; Anostraca; Artemiidae
Description: tRNA-Cys
Source: RNAcentral